RNAcentral lists this ribosomal RNA (292 nucleotides) under uncultured bacterium. RNAcentral describes it as "partial 16S ribosomal RNA". It matches the Rfam family "Bacterial small subunit ribosomal RNA", at positions 505 to 796 of the family's 1533-position model. The record is from RNAcentral.
GUGCCAGCCGCCGCGGUAAUACGGAGGGUGCAAGCGUUGUUCGGAUUCAUUGGGCGUAAAGCGAGUGUAGGCGGUUUGACAAGUCGGAUGUGAAAUCCCGGGGCCCAACCCCGGAACUGCAUCCGAUACUGUCUGGCUAGAGUCCCGGAGAGGGUGGCGGAAUUCCCGGUGUAGGGGUGAAAUCCGUAGAUAUCGGGAGGAACACCAGUGGCGAAGGCGGCCACCUGGACGGUGACUGACGCUGAGACUCGAAAGCGUGGGUAGCAAACAGGAUUAGAUACCCUCGUAGUCC